UCCGCCUGGGGAGUACGGUCGCAAGAUUGAAACUCAAAGGAAUUGACGGGGGCCCGCACAAGCGGUGGAGCAUGUGGUUUAAUUUGAAGCAACGCGAAGAACCUUACCAGGUCUUGACAUCCUCUGACAACCCUAGAGAUAGGGCUUUCCCUUCGGGGACAGAGUGACAGGUGGUGCAUGGUUGUCGUCAGCUCGUGUCGUGAGAUGUUGGGUUAAGUCCCGCAACGAGCGCAACCCUUGAUCUUAGUUGCCAGCAUUUAGUUGGGCACUCUAAGGUGACUGCCGGUGACAAACCGGAGGAAGGUGGGGAUGACGUCAAAUCAUCAUGCCCCUUAUGACCUGGGCUACACACGUGCUACAAUGGACAGAACAAAGGGCUGGGAGACCGCAAGGUUUAGCCAAUCCCACAAAUCUGUUCUCAGUUCGGAUCGCAGUCUGCAACUCGACUGCGUGAAGCUGGAAUCGCUAGUAAUCGCGGAUCAGCAUGCCGCGGU
This 494-nucleotide ribosomal RNA is filed under the name Bacillus aerophilus. RNAcentral describes it as "bacterial SSU rRNA". It matches the Rfam family "Bacterial small subunit ribosomal RNA", at positions 868 to 1363 of the family's 1533-position model. Lineage: Bacteria; Bacillati; Bacillota; Bacilli; Caryophanales; Bacillaceae. The record is from RNAcentral.